UCACACACACACACACACACACGUCACACACACAGUCACACACACACACACUCACAGUCACACACACACACUCACACACACACACACAGUGUAAGUUGAGUAUGUUACAGUGGGGGGGGGGCACAGUGUGUGUGUGCGAUUGGAGCUUUUUUUAUUUUUUAUUUAACCUUUUAUUUCCUGCAGGUGAGAUCAGGGAUCUCGUUUCCAUGGCGACCUGGCAGCGACAGACAAACACAGCAGGUGAUCAGAAUGCUCCUCCUGGCUUUACUUGAUCAAUGAACAUUUGAACCCUGAGUGUGUGUGUGUGUGUGUGUGAGACGCACCGCCGUGUUCAACAAUGCAACUGGUCGAUGAGAGAGGUCCACCUGAGGUCCACCUGAGGUCCACCUGAGGUCCACCUGAGGUCUACCUGAGGUCCACCUGAGGUCCACCUGUGGUCCACCUGAGGUCCACCUGAGGUCCACCUGUCUCCCGCCGCCUGUACAGCUCCAUUCUUUGACUUUUAGACGUGAUGAUGUAAUUAAAGAGCUUUGAGAGUUUUUCUGUGAUCGGGUUGAAGUUGUCGGAGAUUAUUCGGUGGACGAUCUCGUGCAGAAAUGUUUCUUGUUAAACUCGUUAAAAGCUCCAAAUCUCUUAUUAGCAAAGUGAUGUACAAACACACUCAGGUAGUCGUUUAGAUUAAAAUAAAUAAUUUAUGGUU
Molecule: long non-coding RNA, 700 nt
Organism: Dicentrarchus labrax (European seabass)
Lineage: Eukaryota; Metazoa; Chordata; Actinopteri; Moronidae
Exons: 2
Source: RefSeq, a predicted model, not a curated record